AUUGAACGCUGGCGGCAGGCUUAACACAUGCAAGUCGAACGAUGAAACCUAGCUUGCUAGGUGGAAUAGUGGCGGACGGGUGAGUAACACUUAGGAAUCUACCUAAUAGCGGGGGAUAGCCCGGGGAAACUCGGAUUAAUACCGCAUACCUUCCACGGAAGAAAGGGGGCAGUUUACUGCUCCCACUAUUAGAUGAGCCUAACUUGGAUUAGCUAGAUGGUGAGGUAAGAGCUCACCAUGGCGACGAUCCAUAGCUGGUCUGAGAGGAUGAUCAGCCACACUGGGACUGAGACACGGCCCAGACUCCUACGGGAGGCAGCAGUGGGGAAUAUUGGACAAUGGGGGCAACCCUGAUCCAGCCAUGCCGCGUGUGUGAAGAAGGCCUUUUGGUUGUAAAGCACUUUAAGCAGUGAAGAAGACCCCUUAGUUAAUACCUGAGGGUGAUGACAUUAACUGCAGAAUAAGCACCGGCUAACUCUGUGCCAGCAGCCGCGGUAAUACAGAGGGUGCGAGCGUUAAUCGGGAUUACUGGGCGUAAAGCGAACGUAGGUGGUUAGAUAAGUCAGAUGUGAAAGCCCUGGGCUCAACCUAGGAACGGCAUCUGAAACUGACUAACUAGAGUAGGUGAGAGGAAAGUAGAAUUCCAGGUGUAGCGGUGAAAUGCGUAGAGAUCUGGAGGAAUACCGAUGGCGAAGGCAGCUUUCUGGCAUCAUACUGACACUGAGGUUCGAAAGCGUGGGUAGCAAACAGG
RNAcentral lists this ribosomal RNA (751 nucleotides) under uncultured bacterium. Its description in RNAcentral is "bacterial SSU rRNA". It matches the Rfam family "Bacterial small subunit ribosomal RNA", at positions 28 to 776 of the family's 1533-position model. The record is from RNAcentral.